Molecule: transfer RNA, 68 nt
Filed under: Myotis davidii
Lineage: Eukaryota; Metazoa; Chordata; Mammalia; Chiroptera; Vespertilionidae
Rfam family: tRNA
About the family: Transfer RNA (tRNA) molecules are approximately 80 nucleotides in length. Their secondary structure includes four short double-helical elements and three loops (D, anti-codon, and T loops). Further hydrogen bonds mediate the characteristic L-shaped molecular structure. tRNAs have two regions of fundamental functional importance: the anti-codon, which is responsible for specific mRNA codon recognition, and the 3' end, to which the tRNAs corresponding amino acid is attached (by aminoacyl-tRNA synthetases). tRNAs cope with the degeneracy of the genetic code in two manners: having more than one tRNA (with a specific anti-codon) for a particular amino acid; and 'wobble' base-pairing, i.e. permitting non-standard base-pairing at the 3rd anti-codon position.
Source: Rfam by way of RNAcentral
GGCCAGGUAGCUCAGUUAGUUAGAGCAUUGUCCUGAUAUGCCAAGGUUUAAGGUUGGAUCCCUGGUCA